CCUGGUGGCUCAGAGGGUAAAGCGUCUGCCUGCAAUGCAGGGGACCUGGGUUCAAUCCCUGGGUCAGGA
Molecule: transfer RNA, 69 nt
Filed under: Bos taurus (domestic cattle)
Lineage: Eukaryota; Metazoa; Chordata; Mammalia; Artiodactyla; Bovidae
Also listed under: 4 other names
Rfam family: tRNA
About the family: Transfer RNA (tRNA) molecules are approximately 80 nucleotides in length.
Source: Rfam by way of RNAcentral